RNAcentral lists this ribosomal RNA (253 nucleotides) under uncultured bacterium. Its description in RNAcentral is "partial 16S ribosomal RNA". It matches the Rfam family "Bacterial small subunit ribosomal RNA", at positions 524 to 776 of the family's 1533-position model. The record is from RNAcentral.
UACGUAGGAGGCAAGCGUUGUCCGGAUUUAUUGGGCGUAAAGAGCGUGUAGGCGGCUAGGUAGGUCCGUUGUGAAAACUCGAGGCUCAACCUCGAGACGCCGAUGGAAACCAUCUGGCUAGAGUCCGGAAGAGGAGAGUGGAAUUCCUGGUGUAGCGGUGAAAUGCGCAGAUAUCAGGAAGAACACCCGUGGCUAAGGCGGCUCUCUAGUACGGUACUGACGCUGAGACGCGAAAGCGUGGGGAGCGAACAGG